UAACGAAUCUUCCGCAAUGCGCGAAAGCGUGACGGAGCAAUGCCGCGUGCAGGAUGAAGCUCUUCGGAGUGUAAACUGCUGUCAGGGUUUAGCAACACAAUGAGCAGACCCAAAGGAAGGGCCGGCUAACUUCGUGCCAGCAGCCGCGGUAAUACGAAGGGCCCGAGCGUUGCGCGGAAUCACUGGGCUUAAAGCGUACGCAGGCGGGCGCGCAGGCGUCUUGUGAAAGCCCUCGGCUCAACCGAGGAAUUGCUCGACGAACCGCGUGCCUUGAGGCAGGUAGGGGUUGUCGGAACGAUAGGUGGAGUGGUGAAAUGCGUUGAUAUCUAUCGGAACGCCAAAGGAGAAAUCAGGCAACUGGGCCUGUCCUGACGCUGAGGUACGAAAGCGUGGGGAGCGAACGGGAUUAGAUACCCCCGUAGUCC
RNAcentral lists this ribosomal RNA (425 nucleotides) under uncultured prokaryote. RNAcentral describes it as "bacterial SSU rRNA". It matches the Rfam family "Bacterial small subunit ribosomal RNA", at positions 355 to 796 of the family's 1533-position model. The record is from RNAcentral.